UUACCCGCUGAACUUAAGCAUAUCAAUAAGCGGAGGAAAAGAAACCAACAGGGAUUGCCCCAGUAACUGCGAGUGAAGCGGCAAAAGCUCAAAUUUGAAAUCUGGCGCCUUUGGCGUCCGAGUUGUAAUUUGGAGAGACAUCUUCGGGGAUGGCAUACUGUCCUAAGUUCCUUGGAACAGGACGUCACAGAGGGUGAGAAUCCCGUGCCUGGAUGGUUGUCCAUCCCCAUUGUGAAGGGUCUUCGACGAGUCGAGUUGUUUGGGAAUGCAGCUCAAAAUGGGUGGUAAACGUCAUCUAAAGCUAAAUAUUGGCGAGAGACCGAUAGCGCACAAGUAGAGUGAUCGAAAGAUGAAAAGCACUUUGAAAAGAGAGUAAAAUAGUACGUGAAAUUGUUGAAAGGGAAGCGCUUGAGACCAGACACGGUCCGUGGUAAUCGCCCGCGCUUCGGUGCAGGUGCUCUUACCAUGACCGGUGCCAGCAUCGGUUCUGGCGGUGGGAUAAAAGGCAGGGGAAUGUAGCUUCCUCACUGGGAGUGUUAGAGCCCCUGUCACAAUGCCACCAGCCGGGACCGAGGACUGCGCUUCAGCUAGGAUGUUGGCGUAAUGGUCUUAAGCGACCCGUCUUGAAACACGGACCAAGGAGUCUAACAUCUAUGCGAGUGUUCGGGUGGAAAACCCUUGCGCGUAAUGAAAGUGAACGGAGGUGGGAACCCCGAAAGGGAGUGCACCAUCGACCGAUCCUGAUGUCUUCGGAAGGAUUUGAGUAAGAGCAUAGCUGUUGGGACCCGAAAGAUGGUGAACUAUGCCUGAAUAGGGUGAAGCCAGAGGAAACUCUGGUGGAGGCUCGCAGCGGUUCUGACGUGCAAAUCGAUCGUCAAAUUUGGGUAUAGGGGCGAAAGACUAAUCGA
RNAcentral lists this ribosomal RNA (908 nucleotides) under Parascutellinia carneosanguinea. RNAcentral describes it as "partial large subunit ribosomal RNA". It matches the Rfam family "Eukaryotic large subunit ribosomal RNA", at positions 21 to 938 of the family's 3401-position model. Lineage: Eukaryota; Fungi; Ascomycota; Pezizomycetes; Pezizales; Pyronemataceae. The record is from RNAcentral.